UCAAGAAACUUCCACAAUGGGCGAAAGCCUGAUGGAGCGACGUCGCGUGAUGGACGAAGUGCUUCGGCACGUAAACAUCUUUUAUGUGGGAUGAAAUUAUUGACAGUACCACAUGAAUAAGGGGCUCCUAACUCUGUGCCAGCAGCCGCGGUCAUACGUAGGUCCCAAGCGUUAUCCGGAAUUACUGGGCGUAAAGAGUUGUGUAGGUGGUUUAUUAAGUUGGUAGUGAAAGCGUGCGGCUCAACCGCAUAUCCAUUAUCAAAACUGGUAGACUAGAGGGCGAGAGAGGUUAUUGGAAUUUCUAGUGUAGGAGUGAAAUCCGUAGAUAUUAGAAGGAACACCGAUGGCGUAGGCAGAUAACUGGCUCGCACCUGACACUCAGACACGAAAGCGUGGGGAGCGAACGGGAUUAGAUACCCUAGUAGUCCCUGAGCGGGCUGGCAAGGCGCAU
Molecule: ribosomal RNA, 451 nt
Filed under: uncultured bacterium
Lineage: Bacteria
Description: bacterial SSU rRNA
Rfam family: Bacterial small subunit ribosomal RNA
Source: RNAcentral